AAACCGUUUAGGGGUAAACCUGAGAAACCCGAAAGGUCGAAGGAAGAAAUUCAGUCGUGUCCGGCAAGGUUAUUGUGCGGUUUGGUGUCGCUGAACGGAUUCGUCCGCUCGUCGCCCGGCCACAUGAUAUGUGUACCUUGUUGAACGCGUGCACUUUUCUUCUGGUAGGACGUCGCGAUCCGUUGAGUGUUGAUCUACGGCUCGGGUGGUAGUCUAUCAGUAAGAGCCCUCACGGCUCUUACUGAUAGACCCUCGGUGCCUGGUCAACUGGCUCGACGGUAUACUGAAUGGUUGUGGGCCGCUCUCUGGAGCGUUCGGCUUGUGGCAAGCACGUCAAAUGUUUCGGUGCAUCGGACCUAGUGCCGUGCCUGAUCCUUGACGACUGUUGGCUGCGCUGUCUCGAACAGACCUAUCUAUCUAGAAAACCGAUCAGCGACGAUAUAGCUUUGGGUACUUUCAGGACCCGUCUUGAAACACGGACCAAGGAGUCUAGCAUGUACGCGAGUCAUUGGGAAUCACAAAACCUAAAGGCGCAAUGAAAGUGAACGUUUUCCUUCACGGUUAACGAUGGGAAGAUGGGCGGUUCAAACUUUACAGUUUACGUCCUGCACUCCCGGGGCGUCUCGUUCUCAUUGCGAGAAGAGGCGCACCAUGAGCGUACACGCUGGGACCCGAAAGAUGGUGAACUAUGCCUGGU
RNAcentral lists this ribosomal RNA (697 nucleotides) under Cryphalus sp. PNGHairyAraucaria. RNAcentral describes it as "eukaryotic LSU rRNA". It matches the Rfam family "Eukaryotic large subunit ribosomal RNA", at positions 402 to 841 of the family's 3401-position model. The record is from RNAcentral. Lineage: Eukaryota; Metazoa; Arthropoda; Insecta; Coleoptera; Curculionidae.